Molecule: ribosomal RNA, 253 nt
Filed under: uncultured bacterium
Lineage: Bacteria
Description: partial 16S ribosomal RNA
Rfam family: Bacterial small subunit ribosomal RNA
Source: RNAcentral
GACGAACCGUGCGAACGUUGUUCGGAAUCACUGGGCUUAAAGGGCGCGUAGGCGGGCGGCCGCGUCCGGGGUGAAAUCCCACGGCUCAACCGUGGAACGGCCUCGGAUACGGGCGGCCUCGAGGGGGGUAGGGGCAUCUGGAACUGUGAGUGGAGCGAUGAAAUGCGUUGAUAUUCACAGGAACUCCGGUGGCGAAGGCGAGGUGCUGGAUCCCUUCUGACGCUGAGGCGCGAAAGCCAGGGGAGCGAACGGG